RNAcentral lists this ribosomal RNA (292 nucleotides) under uncultured Bacteroidota bacterium. RNAcentral's name for it is "uncultured Bacteroidetes bacterium partial 16S ribosomal RNA". The record is from RNAcentral. Lineage: Bacteria; Pseudomonadati; Bacteroidota.
GGACUACUGGGGUUUCUAAUCCUGUUUGAUCCCCACACUUUCGUGCCUCAGCGUCAAUUUUAGUUUAGCCAGCUGCCUUCGCAAUCGGUGUUCUGUGUCAUAUCUAAGCAUUUCACCGCUACACGACACAUUCCGCCAACCUCAACUAAAUUCAAGACUAAUAGUAUCAAUGGCAGUUUUCGAGUUAAGCUCGAAGUUUUCACCACUGACUUAAAAGCCCGCCUACGCACCCUUUAAACCCAGUAAAUCCGGAUAACGCUUGCACCCUCCGUAUUACCGCGGCUGCUGGCAC